Molecule: long non-coding RNA, 700 nt
Filed under: Triticum aestivum (bread wheat)
Lineage: Eukaryota; Viridiplantae; Streptophyta; Magnoliopsida; Poales; Poaceae
Description: long non-coding RNA (TAES_LNC002599)
Source: RNAcentral
GCUAAGUCAAAGGUGGGAGGAUGUACCAAAAAAAUCAUAGGAGGUGGGACUAAAAAAAACCUGGAAGCGAGACUACCAACUGCUCCAUUAGGAGUAGAGAUUGUAGUAGUGUUCAAAACUGCAUGCAGGCACUAACACGUUCUCUUCUUUUGUAGAUAAUAAUAGGCAUGUAGGUGGAUAAUGUUUAUAACGACAAUCACAUCGAAUGCCUGGAUCUGCAUCUCUCAAAUAUUACUUUCAACUCCUACCGAGGGACCUUACCGGAGAUUACACUCGCCAGGUUCUUUCUUGCCAGAGAAAGGGUGUUGAGGGUACUGAGGUUGAACACGCAUUUAAUUAGGAAAGAUGAAUGGUAUGUUGAUCAGAGCCGGCAGGUACUGCAGAAUGGAAGAGGCUCCAAAAAAGCUAAACUUCGUAUUGGAAGAGCAUAUGACAGAGUAAUUUGGAAGUCAUUGUGUCAAACCCAUACAUGACUUGUCAGCGACUGAUCCCUUUGCAGAAAUGACGAAGUAUGCAAUGUGUGAAUUUGGGCAUUGUAAUCUUUGAAUUUGAACCUUGCAAUCUUCAUGGUAUUUAUUAUAUUGAACCGUUUCUGUUCUCUUGUCUCAACACAAACAGUUCAUCCCAGUGAACCGCAUGUCGUAUAUCGCACACACCUUGAUCUGGCUGACCGUUUCUUUUGUGUUGCCUAAUCACAAAC